GAGCGAACGCUGGCGGCAGGCCUAACACAUGCAAGUCGAACGAACUCUUCGGAGUUAGUGGCGGACGGGUGAGUAACACGUGGGAACGUGCCUUUUGGUUCGGAAUAACUCAGGGAAACUUGUGCUAAUACCGAAUGUGCCCUUCGGGGGAAAGAUUUAUCGCCAUUAGAGCGGCCCGCGUCUGAUUAGCUAGUUGGUGAGGUAACGGCUCACCAAGGCGACGAUCAGUAGCUGGUCUGAGAGGAUGACCAGCCACACUGGGACUGAGACACGGCCCAGACUCCUACGGGAGGCAGCAGUGGGGAAUCUUGCGCAAUGGGCGAAAGCCUGACGCAGCCAUGCCGCGUGAAUGAUGAAGGUCUUAGGAUUGUAAAAUUCUUUUACCGGGGACGAUAAUGACGGUACCCGGAGAAGAAGCCCCGGCUAACUUCGUG
Molecule: ribosomal RNA, 434 nt
Filed under: uncultured bacterium
Lineage: Bacteria
Description: partial 16S ribosomal RNA
Rfam family: Bacterial small subunit ribosomal RNA
Source: RNAcentral